Molecule: ribosomal RNA, 468 nt
Filed under: uncultured bacterium
Lineage: Bacteria
Description: partial 16S ribosomal RNA
Rfam family: Bacterial small subunit ribosomal RNA
Source: RNAcentral
GACGAACGCUGGCGGCGUGCUUAACACAUGCAAGUCGAACGGAAAGGCCCGGCGCUUGUGGGGUGCUCGAGUGGCGAACGGGUGAGUGACACGUGAGUAACCUGCCCUUGACUUUCGGAUAACAUCACGAAAAUGCGGCUAAUACCGGAUAGGAUCUUCUGCUCCAUGGUGGUGGUUGGAAAGUUUCGGCGGUUGUGGAUGGUCUCGCUGCUUAUCAGCUUGUUUGUGGGGUAGUGGCUUACGAAGCCUGUGACGGGUAGCCGGCCUGAGAGGGUGAACGGCGACAUUGGGACUGAGAUAGGGAGCAGAAGCGUACGGGAGGCAGCAGUGGGGAAUAUUGCGCAGCAGGGGGGAGCCUGAUGCAGCGACGCCGGGUGCGGGAUGACGGCCUUUGGGUGGUGAACCGCUUUCGCAGGAGACGAAGCGUGAGUGACGGUAAUGGGUAAAGAAGCACCGGCUAACUACGUG